AGAAGACAACCUUUCUCUUGCAACACAGCUCCAGACCCCAUACCCAUUGGAAUACUGUUGAGUACAUUGCCAGUCUUGGCUGGACUGUCCUGCCACACCCAUUGCAUAUCCAGAUUUGGCACCUUCUGAUUUCCAUCUGUAUGGACUAAUGAAAGAUGGACUGUGUGGGCAACACUUACCCAGUAACAACGCCAUCGCAGCAGCUGUGAAACAGUGGGUCACCUCCGCUGGUGAAGAUUUUUACAGAUUAGGAUCCCAUCUGUACCAACAGCCACCACUGCUCUUUGCAAUCCUACUAUGACUGAAGAUCACAAGACGGGAGGAGACAUUCACUGUUUCAUACUGAAAGAUGGUUUUAUCCCUGUCUAGAGGAUGGAAAAUACAUGACAGAAUGGACUUCAGAAGUAACAGAGGAAGUCCUUGCUUCUAGAGCUGUCACUGAAGGCAGCAUAUGGCUCUCCUGCAGUCGGGGAAGGAUCCCACAGUGUGACCUAGCUAGCCUCCACACCUCUGAUUCCUGUUACCCCUGCACAGAGGUUACCACUUUCAGCUAGGAGGCUCUGUGCAGCGCCCAUUCCCCGGAGUGCUUAUCUGGCCAUGAGCUGUGAUUGUGUACAUCUGCAGUCAGUCAGUGCUUGGUCUUGAGGAUGAAGACAAAAUCAAAAGACAGCAAGAUGUACCAGAAGGCUGAACAGACUUACAGAGUCAGAACUGAAAGUGCAUGUGGUCUGAAGAAUCUCAUUUUUAGGGCAAAUAUUGGUAGUAAUAAAAGCAUCGCUAUUGACUUGGGGUCAAAACUUCAGUCAUUUCUGCCAUCACAUGUCCUACUGUAACCACUUCUGAGAUGCUGGAGAACUGCUGUAAUAUUCAUAUUCUAACAACUUAGAUAAAAAGACUGAUAGCAGUCCUGUUUCCUUAAGCCAGUUACAUCCUACCUGCAGCCUGUGAGCUGCACACUGCCUGGCCCAGCGUGCAAUUUGGCUACUGUCUGCCUGUGCCAUCAUGGCGGCCCUGGGCGUGCACCCAUUCCUCAGCAACAACCAAACAUCAGUGUGCUAUUAACGCUGUCUGGGAUGAAACCAGGGUACAG
This 1090-nucleotide long non-coding RNA is filed under the name Gallus gallus (chicken). RNAcentral describes it as "lncRNA (ENSGALG00010009165.1)". Lineage: Eukaryota; Metazoa; Chordata; Aves; Galliformes; Phasianidae. The record is from RNAcentral.